Molecule: transfer RNA, 71 nt
Filed under: Cordylochernes scorpioides
Lineage: Eukaryota; Metazoa; Arthropoda; Arachnida; Pseudoscorpiones; Chernetidae
Description: tRNA-Thr
Rfam family: tRNA
About the family: Transfer RNA (tRNA) molecules are approximately 80 nucleotides in length. Their secondary structure includes four short double-helical elements and three loops (D, anti-codon, and T loops). Further hydrogen bonds mediate the characteristic L-shaped molecular structure. tRNAs have two regions of fundamental functional importance: the anti-codon, which is responsible for specific mRNA codon recognition, and the 3' end, to which the tRNAs corresponding amino acid is attached (by aminoacyl-tRNA synthetases). tRNAs cope with the degeneracy of the genetic code in two manners: having more than one tRNA (with a specific anti-codon) for a particular amino acid; and 'wobble' base-pairing, i.e. permitting non-standard base-pairing at the 3rd anti-codon position.
Source: RNAcentral
GGGGUAGCCUAGUGGACAUGGCAUCUGCCCGGUAAGCGGAACACUGUGGGUUCGAUUCCCAUCCCUGGACG